UGCUGUGGAUGCAUUUUUAUUUUUACUGUUGUUACACUCAGUCCUGGAGAGCCACCAUCUUCAGGUUUUUGUUUUUUUCCUCAAGAUCAGCAACAGAUUCAGACCCUAGAAACCAGGUGACUUGAGUUCACUGUGAAUUAACAGCUUUGACUGAUCAAUUUCUGACCUACUGAAGUUCUGAGUAACAACUAAAGCCAGCAGCUCUGCAGCUCGCCAUGACCAGGACCUCACAAUUCCUCCAGGAGAUCUCUUGUGUCCUGAACAGCCAGGCAGCCAUGCCAUGUGUCUGCUCUCAUAAGCUCCAUUAUACCAGGAGGUCUACGCAGCUUCUAAAGCAGGGCCAUUGUGUGGAGCGACUACACGUUCCAAGAUAUUUUCCUUCCAGACAGAUGUUGGUGCCAAUGUAAUACACAGGAGGAAACCAGAGUACCCUGAGUAAACAUGCAAACUGAACACAGAAAGGCCCUGGCCAGGACCUUCUUGCUGUGAGGUGACAGUGCUAUCCAUUGCACUAGCUAGCCACCACUGGAUUUAUGCACAGUGGCCUUAUUUCAUCUACCUUGUGCCAAUAACGUCAUUACAUUUCUCAGCCAUUAUUGCAUAUUUUACCCGGGCAUGGUCAGUGGUGCAUACAUGCAUCUGUCUAAAUGACCAUAACUACAUCCACAUUGCAUAUCUAAACCAUAUCUCU
Molecule: long non-coding RNA, 691 nt
Organism: Conger conger (European conger)
Lineage: Eukaryota; Metazoa; Chordata; Actinopteri; Anguilliformes; Congridae
Exons: 4
Source: RefSeq, a predicted model, not a curated record